This 2512-nucleotide long non-coding RNA is filed under the name Hordeum vulgare. RNAcentral describes it as "long non-coding RNA (HVUL_LNC011314)". Lineage: Eukaryota; Viridiplantae; Streptophyta; Magnoliopsida; Poales; Poaceae. The record is from RNAcentral.
GUGUUGUGCCUGCUCAUCGCCGGCCGCGCGGAUGGCCAGGACGAGUACGUCCCUGCUACCGCGGGGAGCCAAGAGGUGGAGCCGCAGCCGGGGCUGCUGCCGGGGGCCUCCCUGGCCAAGGCGUUCACAGGCGGCUACUUCCCGCAGCAGCCCAAGGCCGAGCCGGAGCCGGAGCAGACGACCACGGAACCGGAGCCGGAGCCGGAGCAGACGACCAGGGAACCGGAGCCGGUCACGCCCACGCGCGACCAGGGCGAUUUCUACCGCACCGGCGUGACCCCGACCGCGCCGGAGCCGCCGGCGAUGCUAACCUCCCCAGAGACGUGGGAGAAGCCGUGGACGCCAUUUGUACCCAAGACGUCGGCGAUUGUUCCCAAGACGCCGACGUAUGUGCCCGAGACGCCGGCGUUUGUGCCCAAGACGCCAUAAUUACCAUGGGCCUUAAAAUUAUUCCCUCCAUCAUGGUUUAAAAGCGCGUGUUUGAAAAUUCUUUCGAACCUAUGUGGUUAUUGAUUGACUGUGAGAUGAGCUGAAAAAUAGCAUUCACAAUCAAAUGCAUAUAAAAGUAGUACAACGAAAUACUAAUUAGCUGCUAAGAGUAAAUUCAAUGCGCCUUAAACCUUGUUUAUUGUGAAAAUGCACGUAAAUUUAACCGUGCCUUCUAAACUGUGACGAAGGAAAUAUAAACGAUGUAUCGAGGCUGACGGGUCUUUUAAACCCGAAAGGAAGUAGUAUUUAAUAGGUCUGAUCGUAGAACAUAUAUGUGCAUCAUCAUCACAUCAGAACCAAUAGUAACAUAAAACAUGACCUACAAAGAUGGACGAUCAUGAGGCAACACGAUAGAGAGACAGAACUACUCAUCCUCCGGUUUAGCAACAAUGAAACCGAGAAAGAGAAAUCUCCCAUCACGUCCAUGGUGGAGCACGAAGAUCAUCAUGUCUUCAAUAUCUAUGUCGUACAUACGACUACUUUGCUCCACCCAUUAAAACCAAUAUUUCCAUCUCCUUGUCACGAAUACGAGUAUGAAGUCGAACCGAGAUGUUAACACUAGGAUGGAGCACAAUGGUUAUAGCUCUUCAUUUGCACUCAUCUCCUUAGGCACAGUAAGUUGUGGGAGUAUCUGGUGAGAGAACACAAUUUGAACACUUUAAGGAAUCUAGAUAAUUGCCGGAGUAUCUGAAGAUAAUGAGUAUGUUGUCAAUAUUGGCCUUGUUCAAACAGUAUUGCGGGGGCAUGUAGGAAUGAUCUCUCGGUCCAGCAUUGUAACCAUUCACGAGCCUUCAAAUUUGAUCAACAAAGCCGAUGGCAAACCUCAUCUCUUCCUAGCUUACUCAUCUUCCGUCAUUAACCUCCAUAUUUUCUAUAAAGUGUUUUGUUACAGUAUUCACUCUGUAAUAAGCUAUCAAAAUAUUUGUAAAUAAGAUCACUUAAAUAUAGCAUCCGGAUGAAAUGUGAUUAUAUAAAUCUAGCUGUAAAUAUGGUUACUUAAAAUUAAUUGCUGGAUAUUUGCCAGAAUCAUUACACGGAUGAGUUAUUGUAUAUCAUUGCUCAAACGUAGACGAUUAGGUUUUCCACCUAGUCCGAGGGGCAUCUCUACACGUACUUCGAACUGAUAUAUUUUGACAAAUUCUUUCCAAAUACGUCAUGUGAAAAAUGUCUUAUCUUUUUAGUUCCUGACCCUGCAUACUUGAAAACAAAAGCUCUCUCCUGUCUUAGAUCUAUUUAUAACUUUACUCAUAUGCACUAUAACCCGUAGCAAUUACCUUUGUUUACACGUAUGAGGAAUUAGCGAAACACACGUUCUUCAGUUAGGUCAUCCAUUAUUGUUGGCAAUAACAUGGUUUAGGACAUCCAUUUCAAUGUGGUUGGUUCGAAAAAUAGCAGUGGCCAUCAAUCCAUGCCGAAAUUAGCAUCUCUCUCCCGGUACAUAAACAGCGUACGCACCAGCAUGCAAAAAAUUCUAAACCACCCACUUCCACGUUAACCGACCAUGCACGCCGAUCAGCUAGUACCGGCGGUCGUCGCCGCCGUGGCCGUGUUGUGCCUGCUCAUCGCCGGCCGCGCGGACGGCCAGGACGAGUACGUCCCUGCUGCCGCGGGGAGCGAAGAGGCGGUGGAGCCGCAGCCGGGGACCGCCGCAGCCGGCGGCGAGGAGUACGUCCCGCAGCCGGGGUUGCUGCCGGGGGCCUCCCUAGCCAAGGCGUUCACCGGCGGCUACUUCCCGCAGCAGCCCAAGGCCGAGCCGGAGCCGGAGCAGACGACCACGGAACCGGAGCCGGAGCCGGAGCAGACGACCAGGGAACCGGAGCCGAUCACGCCCACGCGCGACCAGGGCGAUUUCUACCGCACCGGCGUGACGCCGACCGCGCCUGAGCCGCCUGCGAUGCUAACCUCGCCGGAGACGUGGGAGAAGCCGUGGACGCCAUUUGUACCCAAGACGCCGUCGUAUGUGCCCCAGACGCCGGCGUUUGUUCCCAAGACGCCGUCGUAUGUGCCCCAGACGCCGGCGUAU